Molecule: ribosomal RNA, 296 nt
Filed under: Klebsiella oxytoca
Lineage: Bacteria; Pseudomonadati; Pseudomonadota; Gammaproteobacteria; Enterobacterales; Enterobacteriaceae
Description: partial 23S ribosomal RNA
Rfam family: Bacterial large subunit ribosomal RNA
Source: RNAcentral
GGGGAGCGUUCUGUAAGCCGUUGAAGGUGGCCUGUGAGGGUUGCUGGAGGUAUCAGAAGUGCGAAUGCUGACAUAAGUAACGAUAAUGCGGGUGAAAAACCCGCACGCCGGAAGACCAAGGGUUCCUGUCCAACGUUAAUCGGGGCAGGGUGAGUCGACCCCUAAGGCGAGGCCGAAAGGCGUAGUCGAUGGGAAACAGGUUAAUAUUCCUGUACUUGGUGUUACUGCGAAGGGGGGACGGAGAAGGCUAUGUUGGCCGGGCGACGGUUGUCCCGGUUUAAGCAUGUAGGCGGAUG